GGAGAGGUACCCAAGUGGCUCAAGGGGAUUCCUUGCUAAGGAAUUAGGUCGGAUUUCCCGGCGCGUGGGUUCGAAUCCCACCCUCUCCGCCA
RNAcentral lists this transfer RNA (92 nucleotides) under Candidatus Doudnaibacteriota bacterium. RNAcentral describes it as "Candidatus Doudnabacteria bacterium tRNA-Ser". It matches the Rfam family "tRNA". From Rfam's summary of the family: Transfer RNA (tRNA) molecules are approximately 80 nucleotides in length. Their secondary structure includes four short double-helical elements and three loops (D, anti-codon, and T loops). Further hydrogen bonds mediate the characteristic L-shaped molecular structure. tRNAs have two regions of fundamental functional importance: the anti-codon, which is responsible for specific mRNA codon recognition, and the 3' end, to which the tRNAs corresponding amino acid is attached (by aminoacyl-tRNA synthetases). tRNAs cope with the degeneracy of the genetic code in two manners: having more than one tRNA (with a specific anti-codon) for a particular amino acid; and 'wobble' base-pairing, i.e. permitting non-standard base-pairing at the 3rd anti-codon position. Lineage: Bacteria; Candidatus Doudnaibacteriota. The record is from RNAcentral.